This is a small nucleolar RNA of Macadamia integrifolia, 105 nucleotides long. The record is from RefSeq and is a predicted model, not a curated record. NCBI's taxonomy places the organism in Eukaryota, Viridiplantae, Streptophyta, Magnoliopsida, Proteales, Proteaceae.
ACUUAAGAUGUGUACCUGCCGUAAAUAUGGACAAACAGUGAGCAGUAGGCUUUAGGUGGGCAUAAAUCAAGUAUUUAGAUGCCCAUAAAGGACCUACUCACAUGA